This 279-nucleotide unclassified non-coding RNA is filed under the name plant metagenome. RNAcentral's name for it is "partial contains small subunit ribosomal RNA, internal transcribed spacer 1, and 5.8S ribosomal RNA". The record is from RNAcentral.
UUUCCGUAGGUGAACCUGCGGAAGGAUCAUUACUAAUUGAGGGUCUCUCAGGCUUGAUCUCUCACUCUGUGUCUUUGUGACCAUGUUGCUUUGGCUUGUUCGUCUCGAUGAAACGCCCCCCGAACUUUACCGCUUUGGGCCCUUUCUCGCCAGUAUUCUCCUUAAAUACUUAAUAAACCUGCUGUCAGCGUCUAGAUACUAUAAAAAAAACUUUCAACAACGGACAGCAUGUCUCUGGCGUCGAUGAAGAACGCAGCAGCACGGAAGACUACACCUCUU